This 468-nucleotide ribosomal RNA is filed under the name uncultured bacterium. RNAcentral's name for it is "partial 16S ribosomal RNA". It matches the Rfam family "Bacterial small subunit ribosomal RNA", at positions 28 to 507 of the family's 1533-position model. The record is from RNAcentral.
GACGAACGCUGGCGGCGUGCUUAACACAUGCAAGUCGAACGGAAAGGCCCUGCUUUUGUGGGGUGCUCGAGUGGCGAACGGGUGAGUAACACGUGAGUAACCUGCCCUUGACUUUGAGAUAACUUCAGGAAACUGGGGCUAAUACCGGAUAGGAGCUCCUGCUGCAUGGUGGGGGUUGGAAAGUUUCGGCGGUUGGGGAUGGACUCGCGGCUUAUCAGCUUGUUGGUGGGGUAGUGGCUUACCAAGGCUUUGACGGGUAGCCGGCCUGAGAGGGUGACCGGCCACAUUGGGACUGAGAUACGGCCCAGACUACUACGGGAGGCAGCAGUGGGGAAUAUUGCACAAUGGGCGGAAGCCUGAUGCAGCAACGCCGCGUGCGGGAUGACGGCCUUCGGGUUGUAAACCGCUUUCGCCUGUGACGAAGCGUGAGUGACGGUAAUGGGUAAAGAAGCACCGGCUAACUACGUG